Molecule: small nuclear RNA, 108 nt
Organism: Ictidomys tridecemlineatus (thirteen-lined ground squirrel)
Lineage: Eukaryota; Metazoa; Chordata; Mammalia; Rodentia; Sciuridae
Source: Ensembl
GUGCUCACUUCAGCAGCACAUAUACUAAAAUUGGAAUGACUCAGAGAAGAUUAGCAUAGCCUCUGUGUAAGGAUGACAUGCAAAUCCCGUGAAAGAUUCCAUAUGCUA